RNAcentral lists this transfer RNA (65 nucleotides) under Leaunio lienosus. RNAcentral's name for it is "tRNA-Arg". Lineage: Eukaryota; Metazoa; Mollusca; Bivalvia; Unionida; Unionidae. The record is from RNAcentral.
AAGCUAGAAACUCCAAAGUGCUAUGGUUUCGACCCAUAAAUAGGUAUACCUCAUACCCUUGCUUU